RNAcentral lists this ribosomal RNA (301 nucleotides) under uncultured bacterium. RNAcentral describes it as "partial 16S ribosomal RNA". It matches the Rfam family "Bacterial small subunit ribosomal RNA", at positions 509 to 807 of the family's 1533-position model. The record is from RNAcentral.
CAGCAGCCACGGGAAUACGGAGGGAGCUAGCGUUGUUCGGAAUUACUGGGCGUAAAGCGCACGUAGGCGGUUAUUCAAGUCAGAGGUGAAAGCCCGGGGCUCAACCCCGGAACUGCCUUUGAAACUAGAUGACUGGAAUCUUGGAGAGGUCAGUGGAAUUCCGAGUGUAGAGGUGAAAUUCGUAGAUAUUCGGAAGAACACCAGUGGCGAAGGCGGCUCACUGGACUGGUAUUGACGCUGAGGUGCGAAAGCGUGGGGAGCAAACAGGAUUAGAUACCCCUGUAGUCCCUGUCUCUUAUAC